Non-coding RNA from Prunus avium (sweet cherry), 1690 nucleotides. The record is from RefSeq and is a predicted model, not a curated record. Lineage: Eukaryota; Viridiplantae; Streptophyta; Magnoliopsida; Rosales; Rosaceae.
UCUUCCGUGAUUUAAAUACCCCUAAACCACUGAAGAACCAGAGUCGUCACCUGUAGAUUAUUCACUCCGCGCUUCGAGUCUUCCUCUCAUACACGCCAUCCUCGGUCGCCAUUUCUCCCAUUCAACCCAUCAUCCCAUUUCUCCCAUCUUCAGGGUCUUCAUUGCACAUCCAAAUGUCUUUUGAUCUCAACAACAAACAUUCAUCAAUUAUUGGACAAUUUUAUUUUAUGAACCGAGGGAGGCUGUGGUGUUCGCGCAGAAUCUUGUUCCGGCACUGGACUUGACCUAGUUAUUUUUUGGGAGGGGCGUUGUUUAUAAUUUUGUUCUUUUUGUAACCUCUGCUUUACUUGCUGUUUACUUUUAAGAGACAUUAUUUUCUUCGCGUAGUGUGAGGAAUUUCUACAUUGGGGAUUUAAGGCUAUUGUUAGAUAGUUGAGACUUUACAUUUGGAUUUUGUGAUGAGGAAAGCACCGUUGCCUCCUGGUUUCCGGUUUUCUCCAACUGAUGUAGAACUUGUACAAUAUUAUUUGAAGAGGAAGGUAAUGGGGAAAAGGCUGCAUUUUAACUUCAUUGCAGAGGUCGACAUUCACAAGUAUGCUCCUUGGGAUCUUCCAGAAAAAUCUUGUUGGCAAGGUGAUCUAAAAUGGUACUUCUUUUGUCCGACAUCAAGGAAGUAUUCAACUGGGGCUAGAGUGAAACGUGCCAACGAAUGCGGUUACUGGAAGGCCACGGGAAAGGAUAGAUCUGUUCUUUACAAUGGUGAAGUUUCCGGGUGGAUAAAAACAUUGAUCUUUCAUACAGGUCGAGCUCCAAAAGGAGAAAGAACAGAUUGGGUUAUGCAUGAGUAUAGGCUUGAAGCUAAGAACCUGGCUGAUAGUGAUGUGCCCCAGGACUCGUAUGUGAUCUGUAUGAUUUUCCAAAAAGAUGGGCCAGGGCCGAGAAAUGGUGCAGAAUAUGGUGCACCCUUUAAAGAGGAAGAAUGGACUGAUGAUGAGGCUGAAAUUUGUUCAGAAGCAGUCCCACAUGCAAACAUGCCUGAGCCAAACCUUGUGGUGCCGAGCAACUUUAAUAGUUCCAUCAUCACUAGCACACACUCCCCGGAGGGUAUACACAUAGGUCCUUCAUCUGAAUCGUGCAUAUCAGAUGCUUUACCACCUUCUUGCAAUGUUCUCCAAUUGGUUUCCAGUAAUCAUGUUACAAUGGAGAAGCCUCAUGUUUCCAAUGAUGAUAUCCUGUCAAUGUUGAAUUGCUUUACUGAAGGAAGCACUUCCUUAAUGAAAGAAAAUGACAAAAAUGAGGAGCUUGGUAAUGCCAUUCCUUCUGGAAAUGCUAGUGCUACACCUCAUGUCAAUAGUGAUGAUAUUUAUGAAGAUUUAGGAGACUUGGGCAAGCUGGCUACAGUGAGUGAAGAUGGUUAUAAUUUCUCCGCUGUGCAUAAUUCAAUAUGUGCUCCGGCUCAAAUGCUGCUAGGUGACAAUGGGCAAUUCUUGGAGCUGGAUGAUCUUGGUAGAUCCGUUGAAUUGCCAUGAUUCCAACUAUACCCAGCCUCUGUUCAGUCAGCCUUAUACUCAGCCUCUGUUCUGAAAUUAUUAUUGCUGGCUUUCAGAAGCUCACCUUACCAGACACAUAACGUUGACAUAAUUGUUGCACAUUCUUUUUCAUUGUUUGAAACGGAACAGUUUAAAAAUUG